Non-coding RNA from Monodelphis domestica (gray short-tailed opossum), 1662 nucleotides. The record is from RefSeq and is a predicted model, not a curated record. Lineage: Eukaryota; Metazoa; Chordata; Mammalia; Didelphimorphia; Didelphidae.
GGAAGGAGUAAGUAACCUAUAUACACUACUGUGCCCUCAUAUCAAUUCUGGGUAUAGAUCUCGCCCUGUGAGCUGGAUGUCAGCUGGGACCCCGGUCUGAUUCUUUUCUCUCCUCUUCUCUCAGUGAGACAUGGAUGAAGAAGCUCUGGAGGGGGCAGAAGGCUCAGUCUAACAGGAUGAUCUGUGUUGCCUCUGGGCUAACUUCAGAAGAGCCAAGUGGCAGCUACUGACUCACCAUUUCCUGUGUCACGUAGGGUGGUGUGGAUGUUUGCACAGACCUCUGCUUGGAUCCAGCUUCCACUCUGCAGAGCCUUCCCUGGGGGACCUUUGGACUCGCCACAGACCUGGGUGGUUUCCUGGCCCAGGAGAGGGUUUUGGACUCCAUCAUUUCCUGAUAUCCCUUCUUUCUGAUUGGACACUCAUCCAAAGAGAGGCACUCAUCUUUCUGCUGAUGUUUCUGGAUGUUUUCCUGGGACUGUUGUCCAGAGAUGGGAUUUAGGAAGAAAAAGGCUUCAAGUAACAAGUUGGUGCUCACACUUAUCAGUACCUUCUGGCCCUCUGGUUAGAGGAUAGAGCCUUUAGCUCUAAAACCUCUAUUAAAGGAACAGCCCCAGGCCAGCUAUCUCUGUUUCUCACAUGGUUACAUGCCUUUGGACUUCUCCAUCCUGACUUCAUGGGCAAGAACUUUCUCUCCCCAGCCCAAUCUACUUCUGCUUCCUUUGUGUUACCUUCCACCAUUAGAUUGUAAACUCCUUGAGAGCAAGAACUGUGCCCCCUCCACUUUUUUUUUUUGGUAUUUGAAUCCCCAACACUCAGCACAGUGACAGAGUAGGUAUUUAAUAAAUAUUUAUUGAUUAAUUUAUUAGGCACUUAGAUACUUUAAUACUUGAGGGUCUCAAGAGCAUGGAGACUUCUUCCCACAUAAGCAGCAACUUCUCUCUGACUUGAGAGGCAACUUGGUACAGGUGAAAGAAUAGUGAGUCUAAAGUUAGAGGACCUGGGUUCAAAUCCUGCCUCUGAUACUUACCACCUAUGGGUCUCCAGGCAAGUCACUUAACUCUUCAUCUGUAAAAUGAAGGAAUGAAUGGCUCUACAUGAACUCUGAGGUCCCUUCCAGGUCUUGAUCUAGAAUUCUAUGGUGUAGUAAGAUGAUCUUUGAGAGUUUUUGCAGCCCUCCCACCCCCAAAUCAUCCUACUGCCAACUUGGUGAUUUAAUUCAAUUCAGUAAACAUUUCAUGGAAUUGUAGAAUCUCACAGAUGGAAGGGACCUUAGAGGCCAUACCUAAACAGGAAUUCUUGUCUCUCCCAAAUAAUCAUCCAUUUUUUAAAAAGAUCUCCAAUGAGGGAAGAAGUCUAUUUUCAUCAGAAGUAGUCCAUUCCUAUUCGUGUAUACCUCUUGUUGUUAGAGAUUUUCCCCUCUGACAUCAAGCCAAAUUUUGUUUCUCUAUAUUAUCUACCUCUAGCUCCCAAUACUAUCCUCCAGGAACUAGGAAAAUGUCUUUUACUUCUCUUCCCCUCCCUAAUCUCAUCUUCUUUAAGCUAGAAAACUCCAAUUGCAGUGGUAUGCUGGAUGGAGCUGGCUUGUAUUAGCUUGUGAGAGCCAGUUGUUAAAUAUUCAAUGUGAUCAUCACAGAGAAGGUAAAAUGCUGAAAGUCUGAGCUU